Molecule: long non-coding RNA, 2809 nt
Filed under: Sus scrofa (pig)
Lineage: Eukaryota; Metazoa; Chordata; Mammalia; Artiodactyla; Suidae
Description: lncRNA (ENSSSCG00065040904.1)
Source: RNAcentral
UUUUUCUUUUUUUUUUUUUUUUUUUUUGCUUUUUGCUUUUUAGGGACGUACCUGUGGCAUAUGGAAAUACCCAUGCUAGGGGUCGAAUAGGAGCUACAGCCAUUGGCCUACACUACAGCUCAUGGCAACACUGGAUCCCCAACUCACCGAGUGAGGCCAGGGAUUGAACCCUCAUCCUCAUGGAUAUUAGUGGGAUUUGUUUCCUCUGCACCACAAUGGUAACUACCUAAAUCACGUUUUUAAAAGUCUCUUGAAAAUAAUUAUUUUUAAAACUUUAAAUAUAUAUAAGCUACAAUUUAUGCUGCAGUAUUCUCUGCUUUGUUCACUGUUCUUGGUAUCUUUUCUAUUCUACCCUUUAAGAAAAACAUUUCAAGGUUUCUGGGGUUUGUGUUGGUAGUUUACAGCUUAAAGGAUUUUCUGAUGCCCAUUCUCUUAGCUACACCCAUCAGUAUCAGUGGGUAUGUUUUCAUAUAGCUUGUUUAGACUAAGAAGAUGUUCAUGAAAGUGAAAUGAUUUUCAGGUGCUUUUGAUUCAUGUGGGGAGCACUAGAACAAUAUCUCAAUUCAUGAUACAGAUGCAUAUUUCAAUUCUGAUUCAAGCACUCAAGUUGGUCAAUCCAUAACUUGGAGAAGGUAAAUAGAACUUCUUUUACAUGUAAAGAAAUUGGGUAUCAGAGAAGUAAAACCUGGCUUUGCCUGUACUGAGAUGAAACCAUUUAUAGGCUUUACCUGUGCUACAUAGUGUGAGCAUUCAUUCACUUCACUACAGAAAUAGGUUUAGAUCACAGCAUGCUGCCCCAGAGCCUGCUGGAAACAUUCUAUGAUACACAGUAUCCAUAUGGACCUUACUGCCAUAAACUCUGAAUUCUCAGUCACACCUGGUCCCAAGGAUUUUCAGUAAGGGAUUGUUGACCUAUAGUUAUUUUCUUUCCAGAAUAGUCAUUCAGGCAAUUUGGUACUUAGAAGCAUAAAUAUAGUGAUGAUAUAUUCUAAAUAUUACAGAACAAUUCUGAUUUCCAGAAUUCCUUUUUAACUUGUAGUUUCUGUGCAAGCCACAGGACACGAUUUUAUAUUUUGAAAGUUAUGAAUAUACUUAUUAUUAGACCUACAAUUCAAACCAGUGUGUAAUUGUACACCAUUAGAGAAAAUUAGAAAACAUUUUUUAAAAUUUACGCUGUUCCCCAAAAGCCGAUGACAAUGUCUGGGAAACAACUUGAUUCUACCUUCUAAUUUUCCUUCCCUUUUAUUAACAAAAUCACAACAUGACUAGGUCACAAACCAGUAAAUUGCAUUUGGCAGCUGAAUGUCACUGUUACCUGUAGGUAAUGGUCUCUUCUGCCUGGCACAUAUACAGUAGGCAUGUAGCAAUUAUUUAAUGGAUAAAUAAAUUAUAACACUUUCAUGGCUGGCUUAAUCCUGUAAGUAAUAAUUGACUUAUAUUACCUCUUAUCACCUGAUUGUUUUCUCAUGAUUGUUUUUAGCUAGUGAAGUGGUUUCAGACAUUGGAAAGAAGUAGAGUAUUGUUUAUGAAACCAUAGAUGGCCUGGAUGGGAGACUGAAUUGGAAUCCUUGAUUCCCAGUACAGAGAAGGCCCUUGAUAUUUAAGAAUAAAAAUAACAGCUGAGCUUUAUGUCAUGUGUUUAAUGCCAUGACCAUAAAGCCAUUACUGUAACGCCUACGUUUAUUUUCUUAAGGAAGCCGCUGAACCGCCCUCAGAAUGGCUUAGUUUUUAGUGACUAUGGUUUUCCUUUGGGACCUCGAUUCCAAGAAGACGCAGUUUUGUCAAAGGCUCUUUCAUCCUGUUUCUUUAAAAAAAAGUACCCUGCAAUAGGUAAAACAUCUUUAGAUAGAAAAAGUAGUCAGCCUACACCAAAUCUUCCCCUACCUCCUUCCUCUUUCAUUUCCCACUUGUGCUUGUGUACUACUAACUAUAUUGAGGGUACAUGGCCACUAAGGUUUAAGGUUUUUUGAGAGCAGGGGCUGUAUCAUAUUUACUUUCACUUUUCCUUCUGUGCUUAAAACAGGACUUCUACUUCUUCAGCAAAUAUUCGUUGAGUAUCCACUAGGUGUCAGAUAUACUAGGUAGAGUCUGGGGAUACCAAGAUAACUAAACAGGGACACAGGGAGAUGCCCUUUGGAAUCUAACAGUCUUAUGUGGGAGAGGGGAAAAAUGGAUCUGUAAGCCAAAAAAAGCUACAGUAUAAUACUACAGUGGAUAGAUGAUUUCCCGGUUUAAAAAUUCUAAAAUCUCUGAAAAUAUCUCUCCACGAAAUUUGAUUGAGCAACUAAAUUUCUACCACUAGAAUAUUAUUCUUUAUAAGACCAGCGUUGCAUUUUGGUUGCCCUAAAGGUUAUUAAUGGGCUAUAAAAUGAUAUUUCUCCCCCUCUUAAAACAUUUUAAUUUUUAAAUUUACAUAGUAAGAUUCACUCUUUUUGAUGUAUAAUUCUGAGUUUUCACAAAUGCCAAAUCAUGUAAUAACCAUAAUCGAGAUAUGGAACAGUUCUACCACCUCCCAGAAUUCUCUUGUGCUGCCCCUUUUUAUAAUUUGUUGUGACAAAAAAUAAUUUUAUUCUUCAAAAAUUAUUGUUUGAAUGUUCCAUGUAUUCAAAAAAAAAUAUGUGGCGUUCCCGCUGUGGCACAGUGCAUUCAGAAUUCAACAGCAGGGAGUUCUCGUGGCACAGCAGAAACAAAUCCUACUAGUAUCCGUAAGAAUGCUGAUUUUAUCCCUGGCCUCACUCAGUGGGUUAUGGAUCUAGCAUUGCCGUGAACUGUGGUGUAGGUCACAAGAGGCUCGGAUCCCCCAUUGCUG